AUUUAUUUGAUGGUACCUUACUACAUGGAUACCCGUAGUAAUUCUAGAGCUAAUACAUGCGUCAAGUCCCGACUCUUUGGAAGGGAUGUAUUUAUUAGAUAAAAGACCAAUGCAGGCAGCUGCUCUCUUGGUGAUUCAUAGUAACUUUAACGGAUCGCACGGCUUCACGUCGGCGACAGUUCAUUCAAAUUUCUGCCCUAUCAGCUUUCGACGGUACUGUAGUGGACUACCGUGGCAUCAACGGGUGACGGAGAAUUAGGGUUCGAUUCCGGAGAGGGAGCCUGAGAAACGGCUACCACAUCCAAGGAAGGCAGCAAGCGCGCAAAUUACCCAAUCCUGACACAGGGAGGUAGUGACAAAAAAUAACAAUACCGGGCCUUUUUAGGUCUGGUAAUUGGAAUGAGUACAAUUUAAAUCCCUUAACGAGUAUCCAUUGGAGGGCAAGUCUGG
This 450-nucleotide ribosomal RNA is filed under the name uncultured freshwater eukaryote. RNAcentral's name for it is "SSU rRNA". It matches the Rfam family "Eukaryotic small subunit ribosomal RNA", at positions 115 to 564 of the family's 1831-position model. The record is from RNAcentral.